This is a long non-coding RNA of Rosa chinensis, 934 nucleotides long. RefSeq lists it as uncharacterized. Lineage: Eukaryota; Viridiplantae; Streptophyta; Magnoliopsida; Rosales; Rosaceae. The transcript is spliced from 5 exons. The record is from RefSeq and is a predicted model, not a curated record.
CAUACUGAUAUUGGUCAGUCUAAUUCCAUUUUAAGAAGCGCAACUACCUUCCUUUACCUUUCUCUUUCAAAAAAGUGUUUAUCAAUGGUCAGGAAAAUGCAGAGGAGGAGGAUAUGGAUAACAAUGAUGAUCUUGCUGGAGAUGCCAUUGAAAGUGAUGACAAGGAAGAACAGGUACCAGCAGAACGGCCUCCCAAAACAUCAAAAUUUAUAGCUUCAUCAUGUACUCAUCAAGUGUGCUUAAUAUCUGGAUGAAGAUUCAUAGUUGAAGGCUACAGAAUUUGGCCUGUCAGAUUUUGUGAAACCAGAUGAAAAGUUUAUCAAAAUUGCUGGUAGUACAUACUGUGUAGCCCCCAAAGUGUUACAUAUGGCUUAUGGUACAGAGGCUGAUGUCUGGAGCGUAGGUGUGAUUGCACACAUUCUAUUGUGUGGCAGCUGUCCAUUUUGGCCUUGAACGAAGUUUGGCAUUUUUCGGGCAGUUCUAAAAGUUGAUCCAAGUUUCAAUGAACCUUGGCCACAUUCUCUACAGAGGCAAAAGUAAUUUGGUCAAGCGCCUAUUGAAUCAAGACCCACGGAAAAGAAUUACCACUGCACAAACAUGAAGUGAGUGCCUUAUCCACUCUCAAAAUGCUUAGUCAUGAACUCAUGAUUAACUUCUGAAACUGUCACUCACUGCUUUCUCUUGCAGGUCAUCCCUGCCUUGAACAUCAUAACACUGUUAAACUUCCUCCGGACAUAAUAAUAUUCAAGCUCAUGAAGGGAGUUUUUUGCUCAGCUUUCCAGGUUGGUGUAUCAACAUGGUGUCUUAACAUGACAGGGCCGAUUUUUGUAUCUAUGUUCAAGCCUUUGGGGAUCGUAGUUGCAGUUGCCACUGGUUUUGGAGUGUAGCAUACUCUUUACUCUCUGGGUUCAGAAAAUCUAGAAAGAAAGCACGG